GCCAGCAGCCGCGGUAAUACGUAGGUGGCAAGCGUUGUCCGGAAUUAUUGGGCGUAAAGCGCGCGCAGGCGGUCUUUUAAGUCUGAUGUGAAAGCCCACGGCUCAACCGUGGAGGGUCAUUGGAAACUGGAGGACUUGAGUGCAGAAGAGGAGAGUGGAAUUCCACGUGUAGCGGAUGAAAUGCGUAGAUAUGUGGAGGAACACCAGUGGCGAAGGCGGCUCUCUGGUCUGUAACUGACGCUGAGGCGCGAAAGCGUGGGGAGCAAACAGGAUUAGAUACCCUGGUAGUCCACGCCGUAAACGAUGAGUGCUAGGUGUUGGGGGGUUCCACCCUCAGUGCUGAAGUUAACACAUUAAGCACUCCGCCUGGGGAGUACGACCGCAAGGUUGAAACUCAAAGGAAUUGACGGGGGCCCGCACAAGCAGUGGAGCAUGUGGUUUAAUUCGAAGCAACGCGAAGAACCUUACCAGGUCUUGACAUCCUCUGACAAUCCUGGAGACAGGACGUUCCCCUUCGGGGGACAGAGUGACAGGUGGUGCAUGGUUGUCGUCAGCUCGUGUCGUGAGAUGUUGGGUUAAGUCCCGCAACGAGCGCAACCCUUGAUCUUAGUUGCCAGCAUUUAGUUGGGCACUCUAAGGUGACUGCCGGUGACAAACCGGAGGAAGGUGGGGAUGACGUCAAAUCAUCAUGCCCCUUAUGACCUGGGCUACACACGUGCUACAAUGGACGGUACAAAGGGCAG
RNAcentral lists this ribosomal RNA (743 nucleotides) under Guptibacillus hwajinpoensis. RNAcentral describes it as "bacterial SSU rRNA". It matches the Rfam family "Bacterial small subunit ribosomal RNA", at positions 507 to 1249 of the family's 1533-position model. The record is from RNAcentral. Lineage: Bacteria; Bacillati; Bacillota; Bacilli; Caryophanales; Guptibacillaceae.